AGGCGCGCGAUACAGGGUGACAGCCCCGUACACAAAAAUGCACAUAUUGUGAGCUCGAUGAGUAGGGCGGGACACGUGGUAUCCUGUCUGAAUAUGGGGGGACCAUCCUCCAAGGCUAAAUACUCCUGACUGACCGAUAGUGAACCAGUACCGUGAGGGAAAGGCGAAAAGAACCCCGGCGAGGGGAGUGAAAAAGAACCUGAAACCGUGUACGUACAAGCAGUGGGAGCACGCUUAGGCGUGUGACUGCGUACCUUUUGUAUAAUGGGUCAGCGACUUAUAUUCUGUAGCAAGGUUAACCGAAUAGGGGAGCCGAAGGGAAACCGAGUCUUAACUGGGCGUUAAGUUGCAGGGUAUAGACCCGAAACCCGGUGAUCUAGCCAUGGGCAGGUUGAAGGUUGGGUAACACUAACUGGAGGACCGAACCGACUAAUGUUGAAAAAUUAGCGGAUGACUUGUGGCUGGGGGUGAAAGGCCAAUCAAACCGGGAGAUAGCUGGUUCUCCCCGAAAGCUAUUUAGGUAGCGCCUCGUGAAUUCAUCUCCGGGGGUAGAGCACUGUUUCGGCAAGGGGGUCAUCCCGACUUACCAACCCGAUGCAAACUGCGAAUACCGGAGAAUGUUAUCACGGGAGACACACGGCGGGUGCUAACGUCCGUCGUGAAGAGGGAAACAACCCAGACCGCCAGCUAAGGUCCCAAAGUCAUGGUUAAGUGGGAAACGAUGUGGGAAGGCCCAGACAGCCAGGAUGUUGGCUUAGAAGCAGCCAUCAUUUAAAGAAAGCGUAAUAGCUCACUGGUCGAGUCGGCCUGCGCGGAAGAUGUAACGGGGCUAAACCAUGCACCGAAGCUGCGGCAGCGACACUAUGUGUUGUUGGGUAGGGGAGCGUUCUGUAAGCCUGUGAAGGUGUGCUGUGAGGCAUGCUGGAGGUAUCAGAAGUGCGAAUGCUGACAUAAGUAACGAUAAAGCGGGUGAAAAGCCCGCUCGCCGGAAGACCAAGGGUUCCUGUCCAACGUUAAUCGGGGCAGGGUGAGUCGACCCCUAAGGCGAGGCCGAAAGGCGUAGUCGAUGGGAAACAGGUUAAUAUUCCUGUACUUGGUGUUACUGCGAAGGGGGGACGGAGAAGGCUAUGUUGGCCGGGCGACGGUUGUCCCGGUUUAAGCGUGUAGGCUGGUUUUCCAGGCAAAUCCGGAAAAUCAAGGCUGAGGCGUGAUGACGAGGCACUACGGUGCUGAAGCAACAAAUGCCCUGCUUCCAGGAAAAGCCUCUAAGCAUCAGGUAACAUCAAAUCGUACCCCAAACCGACACAGGUGGUCAGGUAGAGAAUACCAAGGCGCUUGAGAGAACUCGGGUGAAGGAACUAGGCAAAAUGGUGCCGUAACUUCGGGAGAA
Molecule: ribosomal RNA, 1390 nt
Filed under: Escherichia coli
Lineage: Bacteria; Pseudomonadati; Pseudomonadota; Gammaproteobacteria; Enterobacterales; Enterobacteriaceae
Description: partial 23S ribosomal RNA
Rfam family: Bacterial large subunit ribosomal RNA
Source: RNAcentral